Long non-coding RNA from Oxyura jamaicensis (ruddy duck), 1037 nucleotides. RefSeq lists it as uncharacterized. The record is from RefSeq and is a predicted model, not a curated record. Lineage: Eukaryota; Metazoa; Chordata; Aves; Anseriformes; Anatidae. The transcript is spliced from 3 exons.
AGCAGCAGCCUCGCCUGGCCACCUGAGAGGGAUCAUGCAUGCCAGGCUCUGCCUCCAAACCCAGUGGUCCCACCCAGAGGCCACCCACCUCUGCCCAGUCACCGUUCUCCCCGAAAGGCCAGGGCUGCCCUGCUUUCUGGGGCGGCUGCUUGAGAUUUGCUCCAGCAGCAUCAGCCUGCCUGGUGUCGCCGAGGCAACGCGGUCCCCAGGGAAGCUGAUGUGUUGCUGCAGCAACGCGAUGCUCUGCAGCCACGGCACCACGGAGGCAGGAUUUGGGCUUGCUGGCAACACCGAGUCCUGCUAGGGUUGAAAAGUCAGGGUGGCCGAAGGAUCACAACAGGGGCACACACAAAAUGUGUCUGUAACUCCCACUGUAAAGCAGCUGCUAGGUAAAUUAUGAAUAUUCUCAGCAGGAUACAUUUAAAUGAUCUUGUCAGUCUUACUCUGGACCUCUUGAUUCAGCAGCUCUGUAUGGCUGAUAGCCUUGGGGAUGAAAAUCACACAAAGUUGCAGGAGAGGCACUGUACAAGCAACACCCAUCCAAUUAGUUUCUGAUACAGACAGGAUUUAACUCAUAGUGGAAGGCAGCAAGCACUUCUCAGCCCUACAAACCCAUCAUUUUUUUGCUGAUAUGACCAAUGAGGGAUCUAAACAUGGAUCUAAACAUCUAUAAUCCUCUGGCUUGGAAGCUGAGAACACCCAUUCCUUUAACAAAGACAUCCACACGGCAGCCAACCAUCAAGUACUUUUAUAAAACUCAAGAACCUAAACUAAUUUGGAAAAAUGGCCUGGAAGAAAGAACUUUCACAUUCCCAUUAUCUUCCCCCGAGACAUAUAAUCCUCUAUCAACAUUUUUAUAAUGUAUGCUCAAGCACAGCAUGUGAAGAAUGACAGAAAAAUGCAGUUGGAACUGCUUACUAAUUUUCUCUGAAAGCUGAAUGGAGCUGUGGAGCACUGGUUAACUGAACUGCAUGCUGUGCUAUACAUUUAAUUAAAAUAAGUGCUAACAGAUGUAGUAGAGCCCAUAAAAAGGUUUU